Molecule: ribosomal RNA, 429 nt
Filed under: uncultured bacterium
Lineage: Bacteria
Also listed under: 2 other names
Description: bacterial SSU rRNA
Rfam family: Bacterial small subunit ribosomal RNA
Source: RNAcentral
UGGGGAAUAUUGCACAAUGGGGGAAACCCUGAUGCAGCCAUGCCGCGUGUGUGAAGAAGGCCUUCGGGUUGUAAAGCACUUUCAGCGAGGAGGAAAGGUCAGUAGCUAAUAUCUGCUGACUGUGACGUUACUCGCAGAAGAAGCACCGGCUAACUCCGUGCCAGCAGCCGCGGUAAUACGGAGGGUGCAAGCGUUAAUCGGAAUUACUGGGCGUAAAGCGCACGCAGGCGGUUGGAUAAGUUAGAUGUGAAAGCCCCGGGCUCAACCUGGGAAUUGCAUUUAAAACUGUCCAGCUAGAGUCUUGUAGAGGGGGGUAGAAUUCCAGGUGUAGCGGUGAAAUGCGUAGAGAUCUGGAGGAAUACCGGUGGCGAAGGCGGCCCCCUGGACAAAGACUGACGCUCAGGUGCGAAAGCGUGGGGAGCAAACAGG